GAUGAAGAACGUAGCGAAAUGCGAUAAGUAAUGCGAAUUGCAGAAUUUCCGUGAGUCAUCGAAUCUUUGAACGCACAUUGCGCUCCCUGGUAUUCCGGGGAGCAUGCCUGUUCGAGCGUCAUUACAACCCUCAAGCUCUGCUUGGUGUUGGGCCCCGCCGCCCCGGCGGGCCCUAAAGUCAGUGGCGGUGCCGUCCGGCUCCGAGCGUAGUAAUUUUUCUCGCUUUGGAGGCCCGGGCGCGUGCUUGCCAUCAACCCCCAAUUUUUUUCAGGUUGACCUCGGAUCAGGUAGGGAUACCCGCUGAACUUAAGCAUAUCAAUAAGCGGAGGA
RNAcentral lists this unclassified non-coding RNA (330 nucleotides) under soil metagenome. Its description in RNAcentral is "partial contains 5.8S ribosomal RNA, internal transcribed spacer 2, and large subunit ribosomal RNA". The stretch from base 1 to 121 matches the Rfam family "5.8S ribosomal RNA", at positions 35 to 154 of the family's 154-position model. The record is from RNAcentral.